GUUCAACUACGGUGCUCAAUACAUGUAAACAGUUGUAUAUGUAAUGCUGCAGACAUAUUUGGCCCUGAUGACCCUCAGUCGGUGUGACAUUUGACCGAUCAAUGCAUUGGGACUGUAUAGACUCUGGAGCAACUAGCCCAUACGGAAAAAAUACAUGUAAGGCCUGACAACAUUCCAGAAAUGCAUGGCUAUGACAUCUACUCUACAGGUUGGCCAAAGUGGUUCCUAAUUCGGCUUCUUAAAUUACUCUUUACGUAUUGAUCAAUGGAGACACAUUUUUUUUGGGAUCACCAAGCCAAAACGUUGGCGGUGAUAUAAUUACAAUUGUGUUGGACCAUGCCUCAGGACUACCUGGCUUGAUGACUCCUUGCUGUCCCCAGUCCACCUUGUCAUGCUGCUGCUCCAGUUUCAACUGUUCUGCCUGCGGCUAUGGAACCCUGACCUGUUCACUGGACAUGCUACCUUGUCCCGGACCUGCUGUUUUGAACUCUCUCUCUACCGCACCGGCUGUCUCUAAUGAUCGGCUAUGAAAAGCCAACUAACAUUUACUCCUGAGGUGCUGACCUGUUGCACCCUCUACAACCACUGUGAUCAUUAAUAUCUCACCCUACUGAUCAUCUAUAAACAUUUUAACAUCUUGGCCAUGUUCUGUUAUAAUCUCCACCCGGCACAGCCAGAAGAGGACUGGCCACCCCUCAGAACCUGGUUCCUCUCUACGUUUCUUCCUAGGUCCUGACCUUUCUAGGGAGUUUUUCCUAGCCACCGUGCUUCUACAUCUGCAUUGCUUGCUGUUUGGGUUUUAGGCUGGGCUUCUGUACAGCACUUUGUGACAUCGGCUGAUGUAAAAAGGGCUUUAUAAAUCAAUUUGAUUGAUUGAUAGUUAAAACUAGUUAAAAGCUUGUUUUGCGCAACAGGGAAGGGCAAUUGAAUACAAGAUUCACAUUUAAAAACAUGUAUUGUUAAAACAUUUCUAGCCUGUCUAUCUAUGGGUAACAGGGUUUAACGUGUUAUGCUCGACCCGCUCAGUUUUUCACCAAGAAACACCAGAAAAUUGCCAAAAAGAUUAUCACCAGCUCACCUGCUUUGACACUAUGAUUUGAGAAUUAAAAUCUUCCCAGAAGUCACAGAGGGUGCAUGGAAGGACAUGUCAAAAAUGCUAAGUCUUUAUUCAUAUUGAAAAUCAAAUUUAUUUAAUUCUCCAUGUGUUCUAUAUUAAAGGGCACUUUAUUUCAUAUAACAGGCUUUCAAAAAUGCAAUAUUGUUGCAUAAUUUCUACUUAACAUAUCAAACGGAAUGCAAAAGGCACUCAUUUCGUGGAACAACCCAGUACACGUUACGUUUUGCCCGUUGGACAUUGGUUGCAAUGCUGUCGUCAAGUUAGUAGUUAUUUGUAAUAUGCACAUGAAAGCCAUGGAGUCACUACAUGAGUGAUAAUGUAUCAUGUUUUUAGUCUUUUUUUAUGCAUGUUAGUGCUUUUAGUAUGUGUCAAGUCAACAAAAUAUAUUGUAGCGGAGGCAGCCUAUUAGAGUACUUGGAAUUGUUGGUUGUGGGGUGUGUGGCUUUGUCUUAGUGCUUUUUGGCCUCCCAUGACACAAAUUGUCACGUCAUCUGUUAUGUUGUGUUCUGUUAAAAGUCAAGGUUGAACACUGCCAAUUCUGUAGUCUUAAUGAGACUGACAUAAGUGCAUGUGAUACCAAAGAGCCUACUAGUUUCAUUGGUAAGACAAUCACCAUUUGUUACAGUAUGAUUUGCACAACAUUUUAAUUAUUGUAUUUUAUUUUUGACAAUUUUAAAUACAUUCACUUUACACCUGGCAACAGAUACGUACACCAAAAACUGUUGAGGAUAUAAACACAAUAAAGCCAUAGGACUUGUUCCCAUUUCCAUAACAAUAUAAAAACAUAUAUAUUUUUUUUCAGAGGAUUCCUAAAAAACAGCACAUUGAACUAUCUACACUGUGGGACUUCCUUUUCGAUCUAAUUGAGUUCCUACUUUCUACUUUAUGAUGCUGUUGUUGACUGCCACCGCAUGCCAGUUUGUGACCCAGACCUAAUAUACUUCCCUUGUCAGUUACAGACAGAUACUCAACGUUGUUCAUUACUACACCUACAAGACAGUGGUGGACCAAGGACGGUGUGUAGGACGUCAAAACUUGCUUACACAGCCAGGGUCACAGACCAUCACAUUGACGAUACCAAAAUAAGCACACACCUGUGCAAGCCCUCAAACACAAGGGUGGUUAGGCUACUGUAUCACAGGUCAUCGUGUGUUAUAUAAAACCAAUACUAACGUCUCAACUUCUUCUGUUCUAUCCGAAGGGCCAAAUACAGACCAAAGCUUGUGGGUUAGCAAAGCCUUGGUAAUAGCAAUUGUGUAAACUGGUCUCAAAUUUGGGUGAAGGCGCAACAGUUGUCAGUUGCAUGAUUUAUUUUGUUUCAUGAUUUACGUCACAGUAGGGAAUUGGAAUGACUGUCUCAACAACCAGAGACCUCUGAGCUUGCAGGCAUCUGAUCGGCAGCCUUCCAGUUUUAUCUGACCGGCCCUCAGCUGCCUCAGCUGACCAGCAGCAACACAUGUCCCCCUGUCCUCCUCUCGGUUUAUCUGGGAUUAACCCUGACACACACACACUAACACCAGCAUGCGCGCACAAGCACCAAAAAACAUCUGCUUAUCACCCAGUCAAGAAUUAUUUGAGUCAACCGAAUGAGGUUGUAGUUUUAUGCGCAAACAAGGCAGUGCUACAUGGUUUCAUGACACUAUUGUUAGGCUGUGUAUGAACACUUG
RNAcentral lists this long non-coding RNA (2784 nucleotides) under Salmo salar (Atlantic salmon). RNAcentral describes it as "lncRNA (ENSSSAG00000081844.1)". The record is from RNAcentral. Lineage: Eukaryota; Metazoa; Chordata; Actinopteri; Salmoniformes; Salmonidae.